UCGCUACUACCGAUUGAAUGGCUUAGUGAGCUCUCUGGACUGUUGCUCGUUGUUGGAAACUUCGACUUGCACACGGGAAGGAGAUCAAACUUGAUCAUUUAGAGGAAGUAA
Molecule: ribosomal RNA, 111 nt
Filed under: uncultured eukaryote
Lineage: Eukaryota
Description: partial small subunit ribosomal RNA
Source: RNAcentral